CCUACGGGUGGCAGCAGUGAGGAAUAUUGGUCAAUGGACGAGCGUCUGAACCAGCCAAGUAGCGUGAAGGAUGACUGCCCUAUGGGUUGUAAACUUCUUUUAUAAAGGAAUAAAACGAGGCACGUGUGCCUUUUUGCAUGUACUUUAUGAAUAAGGAUUGGCCAACCCCGUGCCAGCAGCCGCGGUAAUACGGAGGAUUCGAGCGUUAUUCGGAUUUAUUGGGUUUUAAGGGAGCGUAGAUGGGUUGUUAAGUCAGUUGUGAAAGUUUGGGGCUCAACCCUAAAAUUGCAAUUGAUACUGGCAGUCUUGAGUGCAGUUGAGGUAGGCGGAAUGCGUGGUGUAGCGGUGAAAUGCUUAGAUAUCACGAAGAACCCCGAUUGCGAAGGCAGCUUACUAGAGUGUGACUGACAUUGAUGCUCGAAAGUGUGGGUAUCAAACAGGAUUAGAUACCCUAGUAGUC
RNAcentral lists this ribosomal RNA (460 nucleotides) under uncultured bacterium. RNAcentral's name for it is "partial 16S ribosomal RNA". It matches the Rfam family "Bacterial small subunit ribosomal RNA", at positions 338 to 795 of the family's 1533-position model. The record is from RNAcentral.